This 275-nucleotide ribosomal RNA is filed under the name uncultured bacterium. RNAcentral's name for it is "partial 16S ribosomal RNA". It matches the Rfam family "Bacterial small subunit ribosomal RNA", at positions 338 to 604 of the family's 1533-position model. The record is from RNAcentral.
CCUACGGGUGGCAGCAGUGGGGAAUAUUGGGCAAUGGGCGCAAGCCUGACCCAGCGACGCCGCGUGGGUGAUGAAGGCCUUCGGGUCGUAAAGCCCUGUCGGGUGGAAAGAACGAUGGGGGGACGAAUAGCCCCUCCAUGUGACGGUACCACCGAAGGAAGCACCGGCCAAUUCCGUGCCAGCAGCCGCGGUAAGACGGAAGGUGCAAGCGUUGCUCGGAAUCACUGGGCGUAAAGGGUGCGUAGGCGGCUUGGUGGGUCUGGUGUGAAAGCCCA